Molecule: ribosomal RNA, 508 nt
Filed under: uncultured bacterium
Lineage: Bacteria
Description: partial 16S ribosomal RNA
Rfam family: Bacterial small subunit ribosomal RNA
Source: RNAcentral
AGUGAACGCUGGCGGUAGGCCUAACACAUGCAAGUCGAACGGCAGCACAGUAAGAGCUUGCUCUUAUGGGUGGCGAGUGGCGGACGGGUGAGGAAUACAUCGGAAUCUACCUUUUCGUGGGGGAUAACGUAGGGAAACUUACGCUAAUACCGCAUACGACCUUCGGGUGAAAGCAGGGGACCUUCGGGCCUUGCGCGGAUAGAUGAGCCGAUGUCGGAUUAGCUAGUUGGCGGGGUAAAGGCCCACCAAGGCGACGAUCCGUAGCUGGUCUGAGAGGAUGAUCAGCCACACUGGAACUGAGACACGGUCCAGACUCCUACGGGAGGCAGCAGUGGGGAAUAUUGGACAAUGGGCGCAAGCCUGAUCCAGCCAUACCGCGUGGGUGAAGAAGGCCUUCGGGUUGUAAAGCCCUUUUGUUGGGAAAGAAAAGCAGUCGGCUAAUACCCGGUUGUUCUGACGGUACCCAAAGAAUAAGCACCGGCUAACUUCGUGCCAGCCGCCGCAGUAA